GAUCCUGGCUCAGGACGAACGCUGGCGGCGUGCCUAAUACAUGCAAGUAGAACGCUGAAGAGAGGAGCUUGCUCUUCUUGGAUGAGUUGCGAACGGGUGAGUAACGCGUAGGUAACCUGCCUGGUAGCGGGGGAUAACUAUUGGAAACGAUAGCUAAUACCGCAUGAAAUUGCUUAUCGCAUGAUAAUUAAUUGAAAGAUGCAAUUGCAUCACUACCAGAUGG
This 223-nucleotide ribosomal RNA is filed under the name uncultured bacterium. RNAcentral describes it as "partial 16S ribosomal RNA". It matches the Rfam family "Bacterial small subunit ribosomal RNA", at positions 15 to 228 of the family's 1533-position model. The record is from RNAcentral.